UGCAGUCGAGCGGAACGAGUUAUCUGAACCUUCGGGGGACGAUAACGGCGUCGAGCGGCGGACGGGUGAGUAAUGCCUAGGAAAUUGCCCUGAUGUGGGGGAUAACCAUUGGAAACGAUGGCUAAUACCGCAUAAUGCCUACGGGCCAAAGAGGGGGACCUUCGGGCCUCUCGCGUCAGGAUAUGCCUAGGUGGGAUUAGCUAGUUGGUGAGGUAAUGGCUCACCAAGGCGACGAUCCCUAGCUGGUCUGAGAGGAUGAUCAGCCACACUGGAACUGAGACACGGUCCAGACUCCUACGGGAGGCAGCAGUGGGGAAUAUUGCACAAUGGGCGCAAGCCUGAUGCAGCCAUGCCGCGUGUGUGAAGAAGGCCUUCGGGUUGUAAAGCACUUUCAGUCGUGAGGAAGGUGGUGUAGUUAAUAGCUGCAUUAUUUGACGUUAGCGACAGAAGAAGCACCGGCUAACUCCGUGCCAGCAGCCGCGGUAAUACGGAGGGUGCGAGCGUUAAUCGGAAUUACUGGGCGUAAAGCGCAUGCAGGUGGUUUGUUAAGUCAGAUGUGAAAGCCCGGGGCUCAACCUCGGAAUAGCAUUUGAAACUGGCAGACUAGAGUACUGUAGAGGGGGGUAGAAUUUCAGGUGUAGCGGUGAAAUGCGUAGAGAUCUGAAGGAAUACCGGUGGCGAAGGCGGCCCCCUGGACAGAUACUGACACUCAGAUGCGAAAGCGUGGGGAGCAAACAGGAUUAGAUACCCUGGUAGUCCACGCCGUAAACGAUGUCUACUUGGAGGUUGUGGCCUUGAGCCGUGGCUUUCGGAGCUAACGCGUUAAGUAGACCGCCUGGGGAGUACGGUCGCAAGAUUAAAACUCAAAUGAAUUGACGGGGGCCCGCACAAGCGGUGGAGCAUGUGGUUUAAUUCGAUGCA
This 921-nucleotide ribosomal RNA is filed under the name Vibrio azureus. RNAcentral's name for it is "bacterial SSU rRNA". It matches the Rfam family "Bacterial small subunit ribosomal RNA", at positions 56 to 958 of the family's 1533-position model. The record is from RNAcentral. Lineage: Bacteria; Pseudomonadati; Pseudomonadota; Gammaproteobacteria; Vibrionales; Vibrionaceae.